GAUGAACGCUGGCGGCGUGCCUAAUACAUGCAAGUCGAGCGAACGGACGAGAAGCUUGCUUCUCUGAUGUUAGCGGCGGACGGGUGAGUAACACGUGGAUAACCUACCUAUAAGACUGGGAUAACUUCGGGAAACCGGAGCUAAUACCGGAUGAUAUUUUGAACCGCAUGGUUCAAAAGUGAAAGACGGUCUUGCUGUCACUUAUAGAUGGAUCCGCGCUUCAUUAGCUAGUUGGUAAGGUAACGGCUUACCAAGGCAACGAUGCAUAGCCGACCUGAGAGGGUGAUAGGCCACACUGGAAGUGAGACACGGUCAAGACUCCUAAGGGAGGCAGCAGUAGGGAAUCUUCCGCAGUGGGCGAAAGCCUGACGGAGCAACGCCGCGUGAGUGAUGAAGGUCUUCGGAUCGUAAAACUCUGUUAUUAGGGAAGAACAUAUGUGUAAGUAACUGUGCACAUCUUGACGGUACCUAAUCAGAAAGCCACGGCUAACUACGUG
Molecule: ribosomal RNA, 497 nt
Filed under: uncultured bacterium
Lineage: Bacteria
Description: partial 16S ribosomal RNA
Rfam family: Bacterial small subunit ribosomal RNA
Source: RNAcentral